CGAGGCAUAUAGAGGUUCCCAGGCUAGGGGUCAAAUCAGAGCUGUAGCUGCCAGCCUACACCACAGCCACAGCAAUGGGGAUCCCAGCUGCGUCUGCAACCUACACCACAGUUCACAGCAACACUGGAUCCUUAACCCACUGAGCAAGGCCAGGGAUCAAACCUUCAUCCUCAUGGAUACUAGUCAGGUUUGUUUCCACUGAGCCACAAUGGGAACUCCUGAAAUUCAAAUGGUUUCUCUUUGGCCAGAGGAAACCUGUUCAGGUUGGCCAGGGGCGGGGAGGGGGGUCCUUCUUAAUGAUGGGGGCCUCCCUUCUCUCCUCUAACCUGAAGAGAAAUCCUACUUUCCCCUCCCUUUGCUCCUGGGACUCUUGAGCACAAAGUUAAAAACAUCCCUUCCCUGUAGCUCUAGUUCUGCCUCUGGCUGUGAGCUUUCUCAACGACAUGUGUCUGUGUAUCUCAAGAAUGCAUCUUCCUCUUGCCAGAAGUAUCUGGAUUCACUUGCUAAAAAGUCAAGGUCAACCGUCAGGGCUAAGAGGACCCUAAGAAGACAGGACAGCUACAUGUCACAUGAUGUCCUAGAUGGGAUCCUGGAACAGAAAAAGGACGUUAGGUAAAAGCUAAGGAAAUUGGAACAAAGCAUGGCUACUAAGAGUGAAACAAUCAUUAAUUGUUACGAACGUACCGUACUAAAAGGUGUUAGAGGUUAAUAAUAAAGGAAACUGGUAUGGGUUAUAUGGGAACGCCCUGCAUUAUCUUUGCAAUUUUUCUGUAACUCUAAAACUGCUCUAAAAUCAAAAGUUUGUUUAAAAAAGAAGAAGAAACUCAUUGACUUGGAGAACAGACUUGUUGCCAAGGAGGAGAGGGAGGGAGUGGGAUGGACUGGGAGUUUGGUGUUAGCAGUUGCAAACUAUUGGGUUUGCAGUGGAUAAGCAAUGAGAUCCUGCUGUAUAGCCCUAGGAACUAUAUCUAGUCACUUGGGAUGGAGCAUGGUGGAGGAUAAUGUGAGAAAGAGAGAGAGAGUAUGUGUGUGUAUGUGUAUUUAAAGGGUAAUUCCAAAGAACACAAAGAAUGGAAAGGUAGAGGAAUAGUGGGGGAAAAAAAGGAACAGCCAAGUUUUGGAAGCUGAGGGUAGUUUGUUGGAUGAGGGGAAAAUGCUUCAAUGGAGCAGAAAAAUGCAACCCUCGGUGUUGCUGAGCAGACUCCAACAAAGGAUCAAGGAAGGAAAUCAAGAAAGGGUUGAGACAUGGGACCCAGGAAACAGGUACUAAUAUAGGGACAGUAGGUGAGAGGAGACCCCAGGGAGAGUGCCACGUAGCACACGUGAGAGCCACCAGCAUGGGCAGGCAUAGGAGGAGAGGGCUCUGGGGAAAACUCCUGGAGUUUAGGAAAAAAGAAACAGCAGCAGCAUUUAUUAACUCUAGGAAAUACUGUUUUAAGUAUUAAGAAAUGACUGUAUUGUUCUACGAGCCUCAGUUGUGAAGGAUAUUGGCAGUCAUGUAGGAGAAAUGCUGAAUAUCUAUUUAAUUUCAAAAAAUGCUAUAGUUGGAGUUCCUCUUGUGGUGCAGGGGAAAUGAAUCUGACUAGGAACCAUGAGGUUGUGGGUUCAAUCCCUGUCCUCACUUACUGGGUUAAGGAUCCCGAGUGGCUGUGACUGUGGUGUAGGCCAGCAACUAUAGCUCCGAUUCAACCCCUAGCCUGGGAACUUCAAUAUGCCAUGGAUGUGGCCCUGAAAAGCAAAAUAAUAAUAAUAGUAAUAAUAAGGAGUUCCCUGGUGGUCUAGUGGUUAGGAUUUGGCACUUUCGCUGUUAUGGUCUGGGUCCGAUCCCUGGUCUGGGAACUGAACUAAGAUGCCACAUUAAGCUGUUGCUUACUGCAGCCAAAAAAUAGUGAUGAUCUGUGGUUCCCAGGAACAUGCAUAGGAUAUGUGUGGUAUACAUACAUAGCAGUCAUUUAAUAAAACUCGAUUGCAAGUUCCUUCAAAAAAAAAAUAAUGAUGAUGAUGAUUGUUAAAUAAAAAGACAGUAGGGGAGUUCCCGUCGUGGUGCAGUGGAAACAAAUCCGACUAGGAACCAUGAAGUUGCAGGUUCGAUCCCUGGCCUUGCUAAAUGGGUUGAGGAUCUGGCAUAGCCAUGAGCUGUGGUGUGGGUCACAGAUGCAGCUCGGAUCCCACAUUGCUGUGGCUGUGGCGUAGGCCGGUAGCAACAGCUCCGAUUAGACCCCUAGCCUGGGAACCUCCAUAUACUGAGAGAGGCCUCGGGAGAAACCAGCCCAGCCAACACCUUCAUCUCAGACUUCUAGCUUCCAGAACUGGGAGACCAUAACUGCAUUAUGUAAGCCACUCUUCUGCCGUCUUUGGUUCUGGCAGCGCGAGCAGCCUGAUACACUUGGGCUCAGCUGUGGAAGUGGAUGGUCAUGCUGCACUUGGCCUGGGGAAUGGGUUGAUACGGGCCAUGGCCUUGAAUGCAAUGCUGAUUCUUAAAAGAACGUUUUAAAAGUGUUCUUUCGCUUGCUGGAGCCUCAGAUCAGCUAAGUCUGGCUGCAAAGGGUGACAUUUUCUAUCAGCACAGCAAAGGCUCCUUGGAGUGUGGUUUUCCCACUUGUUGCCGUGACAGGGGUGGGCCCCUCCACCUGGACUUCUUAUGUCCUCUCUCAGUAACCAAGCAUCCUUCAGUCCCUUUGGAGAAACGGUUUGCUUUUGCCUUUUGGGCUUUACUCUUUGGAAGCCACAGGAACUCAGUGUCCAAGAGGAUUUCGUGGAAGGCAAGCUGCCUUGUGGUUGUUUUUUGGCAAAUACCGAAGUUAUCUCAUUUUUUGUACUAAGACACAAGAAGUGUUCUUCUGAGUGAACCGCUGCAGGUCCCUGUAAAAAUGUCAUGAUCUUGCAAGUGUGUUUCCCUGGUAGUACAAACCCUGAUACUGAAGAAAAGAAUUCCUGAGAACGUCAUGUGAGGUUCAGCCAUAUUAUGGAAAUAGGACCACUUUCAUGGGUCCGAACACUGGAAACUAAAACGAUGAGAAAUUUUCCCCAACUCAAGCAAUAAAAUCAUUUUUUAUGCUUCAUGGAUUUUUUGGCAGUUUGCUUGCAAUUGCUUAUAGACUAUCUACUUGUUCUAGUUCAAUUUGUCUUCUCUGGAUGAAUCUGUGUGUGCAUAUUGUUCUUAAUCUUAACCCUUAUUAUAAUGUCUCCAAAUUCCAGUGGAGAUGGAGUUACUCUUCCAAACUGCUUGCUCUUGUAUCAAGAGGUGGAGGUGUUGUCCUGGGAAUCUUGUCAGGACUGAAGAUUCUCUAGAAGAGGUGGACUAGCUUCUGUUUGUCCUCUUGUCCAUUCAAGCUCAUGUGCUGGGGGCAUGAAGAGAAAAACAGACCAAGGACAUUGGAGCAUCAAUGGCUUUUAGUUUUGUGGAUCUGUUGAAACUUACAGCUAUGGCCAGUUUUGUGCUGCUUAUUUUAUUAUUAUUUAUUCUUUUAUUAUCCUGGAUUUGAGGGCUUUACACUUUCCACUAACCCAGUAUAUUUGUCUGUGUGCAUUAAUGGCCUAAGUUUGCUGUGCCCAGAGCAGCCCUCCUCGUUGCUGGGAGGUCCCCCCCCUCCCCGCUAACCUUUUACAGCUGCUCUCACAGCAGCAAAAAGUAUAUGUAAGAGGGCAGCUGUUUUGCAAGUGCUGUCUUGGUGUUUCUUCAUUUUUCUUGAUAACUCUCUUGUGCUGUCAUAACAACUGGAGCCCAGUGGUUGUGUAAGGCAGACUGUGGGCCUUUAUUUGCAGAACACAGAACUUCAGUGAAGGAUAGUGGUGUCUGCCCUUCACCUCAGGAGGUCUUACAGGAGGACAGAGUAACUAGCAGCUGUAGCUCACCGAUUUACAACAAAAAGACCAUUUCUGGCAAUAUUCACUGAAAGAAAUAAAUGUUUCAGAGCUUCGUCUGUAUAAUAGAAGCAAAAUUCAGUUCUCUAAAAAUCUGAACUUUGUCUUCUAUGUACUUGCUUUCUUCAUUUUCACAGUGAGUUACUUUGUCAUGUUUGUUUCGCCACAAUUCUAAGAUCCUGACCACAGCCAUCUAAAGGAUCAGCUUGCUUUACAAAUCUCAAGGAAUUCAGUUGAUGUUGUCUGAACUACCCAAGAAGCAAGAUGCAAAUGUUCUCAAGGUGUGCUUUCACCUCUUUGUUAAAUGCCAUACUGUAUAAUGAAAAUACAUUCAAGAAAUUAUUAAAGUAAAAAUUCGUAUGUCCUCUGGUAACAUGCUAAAAUAUGCUGUCUGUAAUAUGUAUGGUCUAUAUUUUAGGAGGAGUUUUAUGGAAUACUGAAAAUGAACAUCCCAGAAGAACAGUUUUAAGCAUAUUCAUGCAAAUAUGAUAGAGCUUAGAAGAGAAUUCUUGAGGCAAAAUAUCUGAUUCACUGAUACACUUAUUCUGUGUAUACUGUACUGUCUUCGUAGAAACUUUCACAGCACUGCAUGGUUGGGGUCAUAGAUCUGUGACAACCUAUGACAAGUCAUAUAUUACAUAGUUUAAAGUAUUGUACUGCUGUAAAUUUGGUUUGAUAAAGCUUUGCCCAAUUUAGAGGCUAAAAAGAAAUCUUCACUUUUCAAUUAAGCAAUUGCCAUGGUAAAAUGGCAUAAAACAAUUAUUUUCAUCUAAAAAUAUACUAUAGCCAUAAUUCAAGUAGGCUCAAGUAGGCUUUCAAAAAUGCUAUGCUUUUGUCUAAUUAGCGAUUGGGUUAGAGAUUUAAUGAUUUCCCUGGGAACGUUGUUCUAAUGCUCAGUAUAGAAGGUUACAUUUCAUACCUCUCUCUGCCACAGACACAAACACGUGCCUUCUGCCUCACAUACCUUUGUUUCCUGUGUCACUUACCCUUCGAGGCCAAUUUCUAGAACUUUCCACUAGGGCGGAAUGGACCUCCUCUUCCCUGAACAUCAGCAGCCUGUCCCCCACCCCUCUGUGUGAGGCUCCCUAACCCCUUUAGAAAAGAGAAACUGAAGCCUCUACUUUGCAAAUCUUCACAAUUGCCAUUUGCAAAACAACACACCCCCUGGGCGACUGAGCCAACAGACUGAAGUCAAACAUUUGUUUGAAAUCACCAAGUCAAACACAAGCAAUACUUGAAAUGAAGAGAAGCCUUACAAGGCAGCAGUGCAGAAUGUCAAAGACUAAACAUUUCUUUCUCACAAAGCCUAACUAUAGAGGUUAGCUCCCCAGGUGACCCUCAGGGGCGGGGCUAACCUGUCCGGGCUACUUUCGCUACUCCAGGACUUGUGUGUUUGAUGCCUGUGGCAUAAACGCAUCUGAAAUGCCUAAUUAAUGCCAAAGACCCCAA
This 5313-nucleotide long non-coding RNA is filed under the name Sus scrofa (pig). RNAcentral describes it as "lncRNA (ENSSSCG00000043167.1)". The stretch from base 1768 to 1839 matches the Rfam family "tRNA". The record is from RNAcentral. Lineage: Eukaryota; Metazoa; Chordata; Mammalia; Artiodactyla; Suidae.